Molecule: ribosomal RNA, 387 nt
Filed under: uncultured bacterium
Lineage: Bacteria
Description: bacterial SSU rRNA
Rfam family: Bacterial small subunit ribosomal RNA
Source: RNAcentral
GACGAACGCUGGCGGCGUGCUUAACACAUGCAAGUCGAGCGGUAAGGCCCUUUCGGGGUACGACGAGCGGCGAACGGGUGAGUAACACGUGGGUGACCUGCCCUUACGCUCUGGGAUAAAGCCUGGGAAACUAGGGUCUAAUACCGGAUAUGACUCCAUGACGCAUGUUGUGGGGUGGAAAGCCUUGUGCGGCUAGGGAUGGGCCUGCGGCCUAUCAGCUUGUUGGUGGGGUGAUGGCCUACCAAGGCGACGACGGGUAGCCGGCCUGAGAGGGCGACCGGCCACACUGGGACUGAGACACGGCCCAGACUCCUACGGGAGGCAGCAGUGGGGAAUCUUGCGCAAUGGGCGAAAGCCUGACGCAGCGACGCCGCGUGGGGAUGACGG